CAAAAGAGGGGAUAAUGAGGGAAGGUGAAGAAGGAGCUGGACCCUGACGACAGCCAUUUGAACUUGGAUGAGACGACGAAGCUCCUGCAGGACCUGCACGAAGCACAGGCGGAGCGCGGCGGCUCUCGGCCGUCGUCCAACCUCAGCUCCCUGUCCAACGCCUCCGAGAGGGACCAGCACCACCUGGGAAGCCCUUCUCGCCUGAGUGUCGGGGAGCAGCCAGACGUCACCCACGACCCCUAUGAGUUUCUUCAGUCUCCAGAGCCUGCGGCCUCUGCCAAGACCUAACUCUAGACCACCUUCAGCUCUUUUAUUUUAUUUUUUUAGUUUUAUUUUUCACGUGUAGAGUUUUUGUCAUCAGACAAGGACUUUGAUCCUGUCCCCUUUGGCAUGCGGGAAGCAGCCCCGGGGAGGUAAUGAAUUGUCUGUGGUAUCAUGUCAGCAGAGUCUCCAAGCCCCACGAACCCUGAGGAGUGGAGUCAUACGCGAAGGCCAUAUGGCCAUCGUGUCAGCAGAGAGAGUCUCUGUACACAGCCCCGUGAACCCUGAGGAGUGGAGUCAUACACGAAGGGCGUGUGGCCGUCGUGUCAGCAGAGAGAGUCUCUGUACACAGCCCCGUGAACCCUGAGGAGUGGAGUCAUACGCGAAGGGUGUGUGGCCAGGCUGCAGAGCUGCGUGCCGUCUGUGUCCGAGCAUCACGUGUGGCUCCAGCCCUUGUUUCUGCCAGUGUAGACACCUCUGUCUGCCCCACUGUCCCGGGGUCGCUCUUGGGAGGCACAGGCAUGGGUGUGUCUGGCCUCAUUCUGUAUCAGUCCUGCGUGUUCCUGUCAUAGUUUGUGUUUCCCAGGCAGGCCAUGGUAGGGGCCUCGCAGGGGCCAUUGGGGAGCACAGGGCCAGGCUGGGGUGAGGAGAGCUCCCCUGUUUUCUGUUUAAUUGAUGAGCCUGGGAAAGGAGUGUGUUCUGCCUGCCCGUUACAGUGGAGCGUUCCGUGUCCAUAAAACGUUUUCUAACUGGGUGUUUACUGAGUGCCCAUUUAUGUUAGUAUUUGCAAAAUACCAUAAACACAGCUUCCAAUCACAAGACACAGAGCGCCAAAGUGCACCCGACUGCUCCCAGCACGCGAGGGUUGCUGUGUCCUACCAGCUGGUGGUGGUCCUCUGGCCCAGCUGUCGUGCCCACAGUGACGUCGGGUGCACCUGUGCGCCCACCAGCACCUCCUGCAGGGUGCCCUGCUCUGUGACCAUGGAAACUUGAAAGUGAAGAAGCCACACCUUCCAGAGGCCAGGCAUGGAUGGGAUCUCAGUCGUCCUGGGGGCAGCGGCAUUUGUGACUCUGAAGAGGCCCCGGGGGCAGUAUGCAGUGCCUGG
This 1367-nucleotide long non-coding RNA is filed under the name Pan troglodytes (chimpanzee). Its description in RNAcentral is "long non-coding RNA NONPTRT013904". Lineage: Eukaryota; Metazoa; Chordata; Mammalia; Primates; Hominidae. The record is from RNAcentral.